UACGGAGGGUGCAAGCGUUAUCCGGAUUUACUGGGUUUAAAGGGUGUGUAGGCGGGUCUUUAAGUCAGUGGUGAAAUCUCCGAGCUCAACUUGGAAACUGCCAUUGAUACUAUUGAUCUUGAAUUUUGUUGAGGUUGGCGGAAUAAGUCAUGUUGCGGUGAAAUGCAUAGAUAUGACUUAGAACACCGAUUGCGAAGGCAGCUAACUAAGCAGAUAUUGACGCUGAGGCACGAAAGCGUGGGGAGCAAACAGG
Molecule: ribosomal RNA, 253 nt
Filed under: uncultured bacterium
Lineage: Bacteria
Description: partial 16S ribosomal RNA
Rfam family: Bacterial small subunit ribosomal RNA
Source: RNAcentral